AAAGAUACCUUGAAAAACUGACAGAACUCUUCCAGCAGUGGCACCCUUUUGUUGGUCAGCUCUGCAUAUCCUGCCUCAUAAUUGGCUUUGAAGGCUUGCUUUCCAGCCAUACCCCACAAAUUGUGGGAGGAAGGAGGUCUCCUUUGUGUGUGAAAAGGGAUGACUACAGGGUGAGAUUUUUUCACAUCUGAACAUGGACAGAAUCAAGUCUACCUGAACUCCUCGGAUGCAGGAAGCCAGACCUGGCUUGACAAGUGUCAAGAAUAUUCUUCAAUCUUUCCCUGAGCUCAUGAAGCAGCCUUUUGAGAUGUUCUGGCCAUCCUCUUAGAAGAGCGGCAAGAAGAUGGACUGUUGGCCAUGUUUGGCACAAAACCAGGU
Passer domesticus (house sparrow) is the source of this 378-nucleotide long non-coding RNA. RefSeq lists it as uncharacterized. The transcript is spliced from 3 exons. The record is from RefSeq and is a predicted model, not a curated record. NCBI's taxonomy places the organism in Eukaryota, Metazoa, Chordata, Aves, Passeriformes, Passeridae.